This 262-nucleotide ribosomal RNA is filed under the name uncultured bacterium. Its description in RNAcentral is "partial small subunit ribosomal RNA". It matches the Rfam family "Bacterial small subunit ribosomal RNA", at positions 26 to 285 of the family's 1533-position model. The record is from RNAcentral.
AGAACGAACGCUGGCGGCGUGGAUAAGACAUGCAAGUCGAGCGGGAUUUCCUUUAGUAGCAAUACCGAAGGAAGUCUAGCGGCGAACGGGUGAGUAACACGUGAGCAACCUGCCCUUGGCUCUGGGAUAGCCUCCGGAAACGGGGAUUAAUACCGGACAUGACCUUCUCCUGCAUGGGGGAGGGUGGAAAGUUUUUCGGCCAGGGAGGGGCUCGCGGCCUAUCAGCUUGUGGGGGGUAACGCCACCAAGGCGACGACGGGUA